Molecule: non-coding RNA, 69 nt
Organism: Potamilus streckersoni
Lineage: Eukaryota; Metazoa; Mollusca; Bivalvia; Unionida; Unionidae
Source: the annotation of a GenBank genome assembly
GAUUGGCCUAUUGGUUAGAGUGUCUGCCUUAGAUGCAGGAGGUUGUGGGUUUGAACCCCAGCCAAGACA